This is a long non-coding RNA of Equus quagga, 4563 nucleotides long. RefSeq lists it as uncharacterized. The transcript is spliced from 3 exons. NCBI's taxonomy places the organism in Eukaryota, Metazoa, Chordata, Mammalia, Perissodactyla, Equidae. The record is from RefSeq and is a predicted model, not a curated record.
UGUCCUGCGGCUUCCCGUCCCUCGCUGGCCUCCGUUCUCCCUUCCUAUCUGAAGUAGCAGCGGACGCUUCGGCCGGAAACACACAUUUUUAACGGUUUUUUGCCCCUUUUCAAGCGGAGCGGGCCCGUGUAGGCCUCGGAGGUCCUCGAGGCGGCCGGCUGGAGUCUGUUUCUUCCUUGAGGAUCUCCACAAAAAGCGCUGCUUCCGUCCUCCCGCUCGCUUUUCUCUCGGAUGCUGUGAGGGGAAAGGUUUCCCAGGGUAGAAAACGGUGCGAGUGACGGGGCCGCCUUAAAGGAUGCUGAAGGACCACAGUUGCCGCGUCAGGCCCGUGCGCUCGCGGGAAUUUGCCGUGGAAAGCUUUUGUGUGAGAUUAUCCGCGGCCUCGGGGAGACCGCUCUUCCUCCAUCUCGACGUGCGGACCAUCGAGUUGUCCCUGGAGCCCCUGUGCGCCGAGCUCCGUGCUGCUGGCGUGCAUGUGUGUUGGGCGCGGGAUGCGGGAGGAGAACUGACAUGCUGCCCCUGAUGCUCGCGCGUAGAAGAGAUAGUUGGAGAGACUCAGCCACCGCAUUAAACAGAGCCGGUGUAGGCCCCUCUCUGGUGCAGGAAAGGGAGAGGAGUGUGGUCUCAAAGAGGAGGGACGACCUGGAGGCUGUGACUCCUGGUUUGAUCUGGAAAAGAUAACCGAUCUUUCGGGCGAAAGCACAAGCAACUUUUUGGAACUGGACGGUAACGGUGAAAGAGCAUUGCAGAGAAGAAACACCGUAGGACAAAGGCUCGAGAGGGAGUGGGUGUUACACUGGGAGUUCACUGAAGACAGCAGUCUAACUGAAAUGGGGGGAAAAGACCAACCACAGGACUGGAAAGUCAGGUUUGAUAAAUAGGAUGGAGAUUUUAAAAAAAUUUUUAAUAGAGGUAAAAUACACAUAACAUAAAAUUUACCAUCUUAACCACUUUUAAGUGUACCCUUCAGUAGAGUUAAGUACGUUUGCAUUGCUGUGCAGCCAUCUCAGGAACUCUUUUCCUCUUACAAAAGUGGAAUUCUAUAGCCAUUAAACAACUUCUCCUAAGCCCCUUUUGCCAGCUCUUGGCAACCGUUCUACUUUUUGUCAAUUUGACUAUUAAGGUGCUUCAUAUGAGAGGAAUCAUAUAGUAAUUGUCUUUGUGCAACUGGCAUAUUUCAUUUAGCGUAAUGUCUUCAGUGUUUCUCCGUGUUGUAGCAUGUGUCAGAAUUUCCUUCCUUUUUGAGGCUGAAUAAUAUUCCAUUGUGUGUACAUACCAUGAUGGACACUUAGGUGACUUCUACCUUUUGGCUAUUGUGAGUAAUGCUGCUAUGAACAUGGGUGGUCAAAUAUCUCUUUGAAACUCUGCUUUCCAUAGGUUGGGGAAGCUUUUGAAACCAAGUAGAGAAAUCCAUACUGUUUCAGAUCCUCAACUGGGGGUAGUAAAAUGGUGGAAGGACUGCAGUUGGGACUAGAAGGUCAAUACAUGCUCCAUUUAUAGAAAGCACUUAUGGAGGCUGUAAGAUAUGCCAGGCGUUGUACUACUGCUUUGUGUAAAUUAAUGAUAUGUCACUGAAUCCAAAAUAAACGUGAGCCAAUUGUUACCACAUGUUACUGUGAGAAAAUCAAGCUUCUGGGUUACAGAUGGGCUGAGGGGAAGCUAACCAACCACACAUACACAGAAGUGGUCAGGAAAUAACUCCCAUGGGAGCUGGGCAUCCGUGGCCCUGACUGUUCACUGGUUUAUUCAAGGAUAUUGAAAGAAAACAGUUCACACGUAAAAGAAUAGGCUGACAUCAACAGCUUUCACUGUCACAUCACUGGUAUGCCUAGGGGCUUAACAGCAAAACUGCGUUCCGAGGUCCCUAACAGAACCCUGUGGUUUGAAUUCAGGUCUGUUCGUUGCCUUUAAAAAGUAUAAAGUGCCGGGUAAGUACGUCUUUGUGUGUGAUACGGACGUUAGUGAGGCCAUCAUUCCCAACUCAGCUCUUCCUCUUUCACUUUACGUUCUCAGAAGUCCCGGGACAUCAUUCAAAGCAACGAUCUCCACUUGGCAGAUGAGGAGAUUCAGGGCCAGAAAGGAAAAUAAUUUGCCAGCCAUGGCUGAUUGGUACCAAGGCUGCAGCUGAAACCUGAACCUCCAGAAUUCCCACUCUGUGCUUUGGGCUCCCUUACGAAGAUAGAUGCCACAGUCUGAAUUUAUCCUAUGGAUAAACAGGAUGGCUCCAGUGAAUUUAUCUUAACUACUCUAUGGUAUUGCACCGUAGGAAUGUUUUAGCAUUUAUCUAAUCUCCUAUUGAUGGCCAUCUGAAUCUUCUAGCCUGUGAACCAACAGAAUAGUGGUGGUGCAGCACCACUUAAGACCGUGCUAAAAAUGCACUUGACGCAGCUGCAGGGAGAACACAGCCAACGUCGCAGAACGUCCCCUAACAGCCUCCUGUCUGGUGCUCAGCUGUAAACUUCCCAUUGGUUGGCUGUUCCCACCUGGGACGACCACUUGACUUGUUCUUGACUUUUAUGAAGGAACCACUGUCUCCCCUGAAGCAUCUACUCAAACGCAAAAGGAGGUAUUAGGCAGGGCUCAAACGCUGCUGUGUCUUGUCAGCGUUAACUACAGUGCGUCUGUUUCCAGCACCGUGGCAGCAACUAGGACAAGGCUUUCUUGCUGAACCUGUAUAGUGACACAGUCCACACAGCUUCACUUGCUGUCAUUGCCUUUGUUAGGGACAGUUUCAAAGGCAGCAUUCCAAAUCAGAGAUCCUAAGCCAGAGGACGAAACGCACACAUGGAGUACUGGAACCAUGAUCUCAGGCACAUGGAUAUAAGAGCCAGGUCAUUGAGAUGCCACCAGCGGAGAGGUAGGAAUGCUCCUUAAUGGUGGAGGAACCUUUCCCAGGUGACACACCCCUUCCUCUCUCUGAGUCCCAACUUUUGUAGUGAUAACGCUGUCGCACAAAUACGGGAAGCCAUGACAGGUGUACCCUGUAAUUUGGGUAAAUUGUCUAAGUAUCCUUCUCAAGUGUCUGAGAGGCGUUAUGACCAAAUACGCCUUAGAUUACAACACAGGAGAGCAGAGAGAUUUUCCUUGAUGGAUCAGUUGAGAGAAAGAGUGUUAGUAGUCAUUUCCUGUGUCGUGGCACGAUCAGCGAUAUUUUAACUGGCUUCACAGAAAACUUAUCAUCCUGGAUGGCGUAAUUUUUACUGAUGAGGUUGUUAAUUGUGAGCUCAUCAGAAGCAAAAUUUAAUUUCCACGAAUGAAUCUUAUCAUAACUGGAGCUGGUGGGAUUUUUAGCAGAAAACUUCAAUAGAAGGGACCUCCUGGUAUCCAGGGAAGGGGCACAAACUCAGUUAGUUACAUAUCCUAAGGCUCCUCCAGCCUUACUGAGUCCAACAGAUGUGUUAUCUAUACAAAGUCUAUCCCAGAAUUAGGAGAAUUGGGAUGGUCAUUUAAAAAACAAAAUGUUUUGUAAUUUAAAGUAGUUAACAAAAGAAAAUGUAAAUCAGUAGGCCUAUUUAUAGGUACUGAACUUGAUCCAAAGAGCUUGGGUUCAGCAGUCACUUCCACCUCGACCUCUGCUCUGGAGGAGGAAUGUGCUGGCAGUCCUGACUCAGCUGUUCCAUGCAGCCUGACAACCAUGUCUGCGCUGAUGUUUGUCCUGCCACGGUUCAACUUAUCAUUUCAUUCCCUAUAGGGUCCAUAAUCAAGAUUCCCUGGUGUGUCCUUUCAGACUUUAUGAUAUUUCUUCCAGGAAACUCAACCUCUGAUCUGGCGCUUCUAGAAAGGACCUGUAGGCAAAUGUAAGCAGAAAAAUUACAAACCAGCCUGUGGUUGAUAUGACUAAAUUGCUCUGGUUAAUUUUUAUAAUCAGCAUACAGAAUGGAGGGAAGUAGAAUCCUCUAUUAAGAUAUAAUACUUAUGAUUUAUUCACUGUAUAAGGGUCUGGGAGCAUGGUUUUUCUGAACCUGAAAAGUAUAUAACCACUGAAACACACUUAUAUAAAUAACAAGUUACUUAUAUGUAAUUCAACUAGAAAGACUGAAGUUUUCUUUUGACAUUUUCAGGUUUUAAUAUUUUGGUUUGGUAAACAAAAUCACUCUCGUAUGAGUUUUCAGUUUUUUAAACCUGUGCUAUCUAAUAUAAUAGCCGCUAGCCACAUGUAGCUAUUUCAAAUUAAAUUAUUUAAAAUCAGAUAAAAUUAAAAAUUCAGUUCCUCAGACAUACUAGUCACAUUUCAAGUGCUCAACAACUACACGUGGCUGGUAGUUAUAGUAUUGGACAGUGCAGAUCUGGGACAUUUCCACUGUCUCAGAAAGCUCUAUUGGACAGUGCUAAUCUAGAGAAUGCCAUAUGAAUCUGGUUGUAUUCAUUGCCUCUCCUUUGUAAGAUGAAGAACCAAAUCUUGUGUUUCGCCAUGGCUGCCCAGGAAACCCCAAAGAUAUUUUAGCUGUAAAAGACAUCUUAACAGUUUCAUGAUUGCAAAUUUGGGAAAGAGCAAUAUUAAAAAGAGUCAUCAGGAUAGAUUGGUCACAAAAACAAGAUGUUGUUGUCUUGGAACAGUUGCUG